UGCAGUGAAAUUUUUUUUUUACUUAGGCCACGCCCCCUGAGAACAGGAAGUGUCAUGUUUUCCUAUGAACGGUUGCUAUCUUACCCCUUUGACCUAAUCAACAUGAAACUGUGUCCAGAGACAGAAGACAUGUUGGUGUGUUGUGGAUUCAAGCCCUGACCAGCUUUGACAUAGCAGGUGGGUGUGGCGGUGUGGCGAAGUGACCUGUAACGCCAUUGGUAUACGUUUGCCUCUACAUUCCACAUGUUUUGACCGAGCUGCACCAAACUUGGCCUGAGUGAUCCUGGUGUGAUGCCUGACAAUCCUAUGUCAUCAUAUUAUGACGUCAUCUAAGCCCCACCCCCUCAGAAUAGGAAGUGCUAUUUUUUUCCUUGGAAAGUUCCAUCUAUGGCUCGCUUGACCUAAUCAAGGUGAUUCUGUGUUGGAUGACAGAUAGGAAGUUGGUCUCACUUGCUUUAAAGUGCCAAGAGUUUUCAAUGGCGGCAACGCUGUUGGUAUACGUUUGCCUCUAGAUCCCACAUUUUUUGACCAAGCUGCACCAAAAUUGGCCUGAGUGUUCCUGGUGGGAUGCCUGACAAUCCUAUGUCAUCAUAUUAUGACGUGAUCUAAGCCCCGCCCCCUCAGAACGAAUGAGAGAGAUCUUCUGUGUAAUUAAACAUUAAACAGUCCAUGUUCAUCAUUUGUAGGGCAAUGCUGCCCUCUGGUGUCAAAUUACUGAAAUAAUGAAACUAUUUCAGUAAUUCGGCACCAGAGGGCAGCAUUGCCCUACGGAAUGACAGAGUUCAAUUUUGUAAUGAAGAGGAAAAAAUUAAAAAUUUGUAUUUCUAACACAAAAACUCACAGAGACACCAAACUUUCAGUUAUUGAUCAUCAUCAGGUGUCCAAUAAUAUCCAACGGUCAAAUGAUGACAUCACUUAGGCCACGC
Molecule: long non-coding RNA, 926 nt
Organism: Xiphophorus couchianus (Monterrey platyfish)
Lineage: Eukaryota; Metazoa; Chordata; Actinopteri; Cyprinodontiformes; Poeciliidae
Exons: 4
Source: RefSeq, a predicted model, not a curated record